AUCGAACGCUGGCGGAAUGCUUUACACAUGCAAGUCGAACGAUGAACCUUAGCUUGCUAAGGGGAUUAGUGGCGAACGGGUGAGUAAUGUAUCGGAACGUAUCCAAUAAUGGGGGAUAACUAGUCGAAAGAUUAGCUAAUACCGCAUACGUCCUACGGGAGAAAGCUAGGGACCUUCGGGCCUGGCGUUAAUGGAGCGGCCGAUAUCUGAUUAGCUAGUUGGUGGGGUAAAGGCUCACCAAGGCGACGAUCAGUAGCUGGUCUGAGAGGACGACCAGCCACACUGGAACUGAGACACGGUCCAGACUCCUACGGGAGGCAGCAGUGGGGAAGUUUGGACAAUGGGCGAAAGCCUGAUCCAGCCAUUCCGCGUGAGUGAAGAAGGCCUUCGGGUUGUAAAGCUCUUUCGCAAGGGAAGAAAACUUAAGCUCUAACAUAGCUUGAGGUUGACGGUACCUUGAUAAGAAGCACCGGCUAACUACGUGCCAGCAGCCGCGGUAA
Molecule: ribosomal RNA, 500 nt
Filed under: uncultured bacterium
Lineage: Bacteria
Description: partial 16S ribosomal RNA
Rfam family: Bacterial small subunit ribosomal RNA
Source: RNAcentral